This 497-nucleotide ribosomal RNA is filed under the name uncultured bacterium. RNAcentral describes it as "partial 16S ribosomal RNA". It matches the Rfam family "Bacterial small subunit ribosomal RNA", at positions 28 to 507 of the family's 1533-position model. The record is from RNAcentral.
GAUGAACGCUGGCGGCGUGCCUAAUACAUGCAAGUCGAGCGAACAGACGAGGAGCUUGCUCCUCUGACGUUAGCGGCGGACGGGUGAGUAACACGUGGAUAACCUACCUAUAAGACUGGGAUAACUUCGGGAAACCGGAGCUAAUACCGGAUAAUAUAUUGAACCGCAUGGUUCAAUAGUGAAAGACGGUUUUGCUGUCACUUAUAGAUGGAUCCGCGCCGCAUUAGCUAGUUGGUACGGUAACGGCUUACCAAGGCAACGAUGCGUAGCCGACCUGAGAGGGGGGUCGGCCACACGAGAACUGAGACACGGUCCAGACUCCUACGGGAGGCAGCAGUAGGGAAUCGUCCGCAAUAGGCGAAAGCCUGACGGAGCAACGCCGCGUGAGUGAUGAAGGUCUUCGGAGCGUAAAACUCUGUUAUUAGGGAAGAACAAAUGUGUAAGUAACUAUGCACGUCUUGACGGUACCUAAUCAGAAAGCCACGGCUAACUACGUG